This 539-nucleotide small RNA is filed under the name Pan troglodytes (chimpanzee). RNAcentral describes it as "processed transcript". The record is from RNAcentral. Lineage: Eukaryota; Metazoa; Chordata; Mammalia; Primates; Hominidae.
UGAAACAAAUGCCUAUGGAAAUACACCUCUUCAUGUAGCCUGCUAUAAUGGACAAGAUGUUGUAGUGAAUGAACUUAUAGACUGUGGUGCUAUUGUAAAUCAAAAGAAUGAAAAAGGAUUUACUCCUUUGCACUUUGCUGCUGCAUCAACACAUGGAGCAUUGUGUUUAGAGCUUCUAGUUGGCAAUGGGGCCGAUGUCAAUAUGAAGGAGCUGUAAUCGACUGUGAGGAUAAGAAUGGAAAUACCCCUUUGCACAUAGCAGCACGGUAUGGCCAUGAGCUGCUGAUCAACACUCUUAUUACAAGUGGUGCUGACACUGCAAAGCGUGGCAUACAUGGAAUGUUCCCCCUCCAUUUGGCAGCCUUAAGCGGCUUUUCAGAUUGCUGCAGAAAACUUCUUUCUUCAGGAUUUGAUAUAGAUACCCCAGAUGAUUUUGGCAGGACUUGUCUACAUGCAGCUGCAGCUGGAGGGAAUUUGGAGUGCCUAAACCUUCUGCUGAAUACUGGUGCAGACUUUAAUAAAAAGGACAAAUUUGGGAG